Molecule: ribosomal RNA, 253 nt
Filed under: uncultured bacterium
Lineage: Bacteria
Description: partial 16S ribosomal RNA
Rfam family: Bacterial small subunit ribosomal RNA
Source: RNAcentral
UACGUAGGGACCAAGCGUUGUUCGGAUUUACUGGGCGUAAAGCGCGCGUAGGCGGAUCGCUAAGUCAGGGGUGAAAUCCCAGGGCUCAACCCUGGAACUGCCUUUGAUACUGACGAUCUGGAGAUCGGGAGAGGUGAGUGGAAUUCCGAGUGUAGAGGUGAAAUUCGUAGAUAUUCGGAGGAACACCAGAAGCGAAGGCGGCUCACUGGCCCGAUACUGACGCUGAGGCGCGAAAGCGUGGGGAGCAAACAGG